Molecule: ribosomal RNA, 254 nt
Filed under: uncultured bacterium
Lineage: Bacteria
Description: partial 16S ribosomal RNA
Rfam family: Bacterial small subunit ribosomal RNA
Source: RNAcentral
UACGUAGGGCGCGAGCGUUGUCCGGAAUUAUUGGGCGUAAAGAGCUCGUAGGCGGCUUGUCGCGUCGAAUGUGAAACCUCCAGGCUCAACCUGGAGACGCCACCCGAUACUGCUGUGACUAGAGUCCGGUAGGGGAGCGUGGAAUUCCUGGUGUAGCGGUGAAAUGCGCAGAUAUCAGGAGGAACACCGAUGGCGAAGGCAGGUCUCUGGGCCACUACUGACGCUGAGAAGCGAAAGCAUGGGGAGCGAACAGG